Molecule: long non-coding RNA, 208 nt
Filed under: Lathyrus oleraceus (garden pea)
Lineage: Eukaryota; Viridiplantae; Streptophyta; Magnoliopsida; Fabales; Fabaceae
Description: Pisum sativum (pea) long non-coding RNA (PSAT_LNC016756)
Source: RNAcentral
UUUCAAAGAGUCGACUUACGAGGAAAUAACGUUGGGUAGGGCAAGCUUGAAACAAAUUGGAAGGCUCGUACUAGGUACGAAAAAACAACGACAAAUGAGCAUAUACGAUGGAGAACCUUUGUGGGGAGCUCAUCCCAAAAACAUGGAAUACAACCAAGUUGAAUCGCUACUACAACUAAGUCCUUUUUCUUGCUUUCAUUUUAUUUUC